GCCCGGUUAGCUCAGCUGGUUAGAGCGUCGUACUAAUAUCAUUCUUAUGGGAUAUAAUUAGUUAACUUGCAUUGCAAUGCGAAGGUCAACAGUUCAAUCCUGUUACUGGGCA
This is a non-coding RNA of Cladorrhinum sp. PSN259, 112 nucleotides long. NCBI's taxonomy places the organism in Eukaryota, Fungi, Ascomycota, Sordariomycetes, Sordariales, Podosporaceae. The record is from the annotation of a GenBank genome assembly.